GACUCUCGGCAACGGAUAUCUCGGCUCUCGCAUCGAUGAAGAACGUAGCAAAAUGCGAUACUUGGUGUGAAUUGCAGAAUCCCGUGAACCAUCCAAUCUUUGAACGCAAGUUGCGCCCGAAGCCAUCCGGCCGAGGGCACGCCUGCCUGGGCGUCACGCAUCG
RNAcentral lists this ribosomal RNA (163 nucleotides) under Pinguicula bohemica. RNAcentral's name for it is "5.8S ribosomal RNA". It matches the Rfam family "5.8S ribosomal RNA". From Rfam's summary of the family: 5.8S ribosomal RNA (5.8S rRNA) is a component of the large subunit of the eukaryotic ribosome. Lineage: Eukaryota; Viridiplantae; Streptophyta; Magnoliopsida; Lamiales; Lentibulariaceae. The record is from RNAcentral.